UACGUAGGGGGCGAGCGUUGUCCGGAUUUAUUGGGCGUAAAGAGCUCGUAGGCGGCCAACUAAGUCGGAUGUGAAAUCCCCAGGCUUAACCUGGGAACUGCAUCCGAUACUGGAUGGCUUGAAUCCGGGAGAGGGAUGCAGAAUUCCAGGUGUAGCGGUGAAAUGCGUAGAUAUCUGGAGGAAUACCGGUGGCGAAGGCGGCAUCCUGGACCGGCAUUGACGCUGAGUGAGCGAAAGCCAGGGGAGCAAACGGG
RNAcentral lists this ribosomal RNA (254 nucleotides) under uncultured bacterium. RNAcentral describes it as "partial 16S ribosomal RNA". It matches the Rfam family "Bacterial small subunit ribosomal RNA", at positions 524 to 776 of the family's 1533-position model. The record is from RNAcentral.